AGUGGAAUAGCUGGGUCAAAUGGUGGUUCCAUUCCAAGUUUUCUAAGAAAUCUCCAUAAUGUUUUCCAGAGUGGUUGCCCAAAUUUGCAUUCCCACCAGCAAU
RNAcentral lists this microRNA precursor (103 nucleotides) under Marmota monax (woodchuck). The record is from RNAcentral. Lineage: Eukaryota; Metazoa; Chordata; Mammalia; Rodentia; Sciuridae.